UGGGGAAUUUUCGUCAAUGGGGGAAGCCCUGAACGAGCAAUGCCGCGUGUGUGAAGAAGGUCUUCGGAUCGUAAAGCACUGUUGUAAGUGAAGAAUGCCACAUAGAGGAAAUGCUAUGUGGGUGACGGUAGCUUACCAGAAAGCCACGGCUAACUACGUGCCAGCAGCCGCGGUAAUACGUAGGUGGUAAGCGUUAUCCGGAAUCAUUGGGCGUAAAGGGUGCGUAGGUGGCACGAUAAGUCUGAAGUAAAAGGCAACAGCUCAACUGUUGUAUGCUUUGGAAACUGUCGAGCUAGAGUGCAGAAGAGGGCGAUGGAAUUCCAUGUGUAGCGGUAAAAUGCGUAGAUAUAUGGAGGAACACCAGUGGCGAAGGCGGUCGCCUGGUCUGUAACUGACACUGAUGCACGAAAGCGUGGGGAUCGAACAGGAUUAGAUACC
This 438-nucleotide ribosomal RNA is filed under the name uncultured bacterium. RNAcentral describes it as "bacterial SSU rRNA". It matches the Rfam family "Bacterial small subunit ribosomal RNA", at positions 355 to 786 of the family's 1533-position model. The record is from RNAcentral.